AAUCAACGCUGGCGGCGUGCCUAACACAUGCAAGUCGAACGCGAAAGUCCCGCAAGGGAUAAGUAGAGUGGCAAACGGGUGAGUAACACGUGGGUGACCUGCCUUCGAGUGGGGGAUAACGUCCCGAAAGGGACGCUAAUACCGCAUGAUAUCCCGCCUUUUAACAGGUGGAGCUCAAAGCUGGGGAUCGCAAGACCUAGCGCUCGGAGAGGGGCCCGCGCCCGAUUAGCUAGNGGUGGGGUAACGGCUCACCAAGGCAACGAUCGGUAGCCGGCCUGAGAGGGCGGACGGCCACACUGGGACUGAGACACGGCCCAGACUCCUACGGGAGGCAGCAGUAAGGAAUAUUGCGCAAUGGGCGUAAGCCUGACGCAGCGACGCCGCGUGGGGGAUGAAGGCC
RNAcentral lists this ribosomal RNA (400 nucleotides) under uncultured bacterium. RNAcentral describes it as "bacterial SSU rRNA". It matches the Rfam family "Bacterial small subunit ribosomal RNA", at positions 29 to 416 of the family's 1533-position model. The record is from RNAcentral.